This 460-nucleotide ribosomal RNA is filed under the name uncultured bacterium. RNAcentral's name for it is "partial 16S ribosomal RNA". It matches the Rfam family "Bacterial small subunit ribosomal RNA", at positions 338 to 795 of the family's 1533-position model. The record is from RNAcentral.
CCUACGGGUGGCAGCAGUGAGGAAUAUUGGUCAAUGGUCGAGAGUCUGAACCAGCCAAGCCGCGUGAGGGAAGAAUGCCCUGUGGAUUGUAAACUUCUUUUGUAUGGGAAUAAAGCGUUCCACGUGUGCGCGUUUGAGUGUACCCUAUGAAUAAGCAUCGGCUAACUCCGUGCCAGCAGCCGCGGUAAUACGGAGGAUGCGAGCGUUAUCCGGAUUUAUUGGGUUUAAAGGGAGCGUAGGUGGGGUAUUAAGUCAGGUGUGAAAGGUCGGGGCUCAACCCGCAGACUGCAGUUGAAACUGGCAGUCUGGAGUGCGGGAGAGGUAUGCGGAAUGCGUGGUGUAGCGGUGAAAUGCGUAGAUAUCACGAAGAACUCCGAUUGCGAAGGCAGCUUGCCGGACAGCAACUGACGCUGAGGCGCGAAAGCGUGGGUAUCAAACAGGAUUAGAUACCCGUGUAGUC